RNAcentral lists this ribosomal RNA (86 nucleotides) under Schotia brachypetala. RNAcentral describes it as "partial 26S ribosomal RNA". It matches the Rfam family "Eukaryotic large subunit ribosomal RNA", at positions 1 to 82 of the family's 3401-position model. The record is from RNAcentral. Lineage: Eukaryota; Viridiplantae; Streptophyta; Magnoliopsida; Fabales; Fabaceae.
AUUGCGACCUCAGCUCAGGCGGGGCUACCCGCUGAGUUUAAGCAUAUCAAUAAGCGGAGGAAAAGAAACUAACAAGGAUUCCCCUA